GCACAUGCUGUGAGCUCGAUGAGUAGGGCGGGACACGUGGUAUCCUGUCUGAAUAUGGGGGGACCAUCCUCCAAGGCUAAAUACUCCUGACUGACCGAUAGUGAACCAGUACCGUGAGGGAAAGGCGAAAAGAACCCCGGCGAGGGGAGUGAAAAAGAACCUGAAACCGUGUACGUACAAGCAGUGGGAGCACGCUUAGGCGUGUGACUGCGUACCUUUUGUAUAAUGGGUCAGCGACUUAUAUUCUGUAGCAAGGUUAACCGAAUAGGGGAGCCGAAGGGAAACCGAGUCUUAACUGGGCGUUAAGUUGCAGGGUAUAGACCCGAAACCCGGUGAUCUAGCCAUGGGCAGGUUGAAGGUUGGGUAACACUAACUGGAGGACCGAACCGACUAAUGUUGAAAAAUUAGCGGAUGACUUGUGGCUGGGGGUGAAAGGCCAAUCAAACCGGGAGAUAGCUGGUUCUCCCCGAAAGCUAUUUAGGUAGCGCCUCGUGAAUUCAUCUCCGGGGGUAGAGCACUGUUUCGGCAAGGGGGUCAUCCCGACUUACCAACCCGAUGCAAACUGCGAAUACCGGAGAAUGUUAUCACGGGAGACACACGGCGGGUGCUAACGUCCGUCGUGAAGAGGGAAACAACCCAGACCGCCAGCUAAGGUCCCAAAGUCAUGGUUAAGUGGGAAACGAUGUGGGAAGGCCCAGACAGCCAGGAUGUUGGCUUAGAAGCAGCCAUCAUUUAAAGAAAGCGUAAUAGCUCACUGGUCGAGUCGGCCUGCGCGGAAGAUGUAACGGGGCUAAACCAUGCACCGAAGCUGCGGCAGCGACGCUGAUGCGUUGUUGGGUAGGGGAGCGUUCUGUAAGCCUGCGAAGGUGUGCUGUGAGGCAUGCUGGAGGUAUCAGAAGUGCGAAUGCUGACAUAAGUAACGAUAAAGCGGGUGAAAAGCCCGCUCGCCGGAAGACCAAGGGUUCCUGUCCAACGUUAAUCGGGGCAGGGUGAGUCGACCCCUAAGGCGAGGCCGAAAGGCGUAGUCGAUGGGAAACAGGUUAAUAUUCCUGUACUUGGUGUUACUGCGAAGGGGGGACGGAGAAGGCUAUGUUGGCCGGGCGACGGUUGUCCCGGUUUAAGCGUGUAGGCUGGUUUUCCAGGCAAAUCCGGAAAAUCAAGGCUGAGGCGUGAUGACG
Molecule: ribosomal RNA, 1178 nt
Filed under: Escherichia coli
Lineage: Bacteria; Pseudomonadati; Pseudomonadota; Gammaproteobacteria; Enterobacterales; Enterobacteriaceae
Description: partial 23S ribosomal RNA
Rfam family: Bacterial large subunit ribosomal RNA
Source: RNAcentral